UCAAUAAAUUGUUGCUAACAAUGAGACCCUGUAUAUAACUUUAACUGAUAUUUGAAAAAGAUGGUUGAUGAAUUGCGAUAUUUAUUGUUUAGUUCUUUUUUAGAGGAAGUCGCAGCCAUUUUGUUGGAUACGAGACCGGGAGUCUGGACCUGGAAGUCAUCGGGCUGGGGACCUGGAUCGGAACAGGAGCAGCUGUACUGGAAAGGAUACUGAGCAGGAAUCUCGAUAUAUGGAGCUGGGAUAUUGAAAAUAAAGCUGAGGAUUGGAUAGGCACAGAGGAAAAAGCAGUGGCGUUCCGUCGAUGUGCCCCGGGGUGAGUUUUUGAAUUUUAUUCAUAACCAAUAUACAUGUUGGUGCUUUUUUUUAUAGCGGUUUUUAGGUGCAUUUUAAAAUAGAUCGGACCAAUUAACCUACAGCCAUUUUUUUUCAUUUAAUUCA
This is a long non-coding RNA of Anthonomus grandis grandis, 438 nucleotides long. RefSeq lists it as uncharacterized. The transcript has 3 exons. Lineage: Eukaryota; Metazoa; Arthropoda; Insecta; Coleoptera; Curculionidae. The record is from RefSeq and is a predicted model, not a curated record.